RNAcentral lists this ribosomal RNA (168 nucleotides) under Phaseolus leptostachyus. RNAcentral describes it as "5.8S ribosomal RNA". It matches the Rfam family "5.8S ribosomal RNA". From Rfam's summary of the family: 5.8S ribosomal RNA (5.8S rRNA) is a component of the large subunit of the eukaryotic ribosome. It is transcribed by RNA polymerase I as part of the 45S precursor that also contains 18S and 28S rRNA. Lineage: Eukaryota; Viridiplantae; Streptophyta; Magnoliopsida; Fabales; Fabaceae. The record is from RNAcentral.
AUCUAAAAUGACUCUCGGCAACGGAUAUCUCGGCUCUUGCAUCGAUGAAGAACGUAGCGAAAUGCGAUACUUGGUGUGAAUUGCAGAAUCCCGUGAACCAUCGAGUCUUUGAACGCAAGUUGCGCCCAAAGCCAUUANGCUGAGGGCACGCCUGCCUGGGUGUCACAC